AUGAAAUGAGUGAUCAAAUAGUUACUAAGUACUAACCAAGUCGGUAUCUUCAACUUGCUUCUAGGCAAGUGAAUUUCAAAAAGUUUAUUGGGAAGAAAACAUUAUUUUUGAGUUGAAUAAAUUUAUUACAUUAGAGCACAAAAACAAUAACUUAAGCAAUCUCAUCUUUUGAUUAACAGGAAAUGAAAACUAUUUAAUAUUUAAAAAGCAUAAGUUUA
Molecule: unclassified non-coding RNA, 218 nt
Filed under: Hevea brasiliensis (rubber tree)
Lineage: Eukaryota; Viridiplantae; Streptophyta; Magnoliopsida; Malpighiales; Euphorbiaceae
Source: RNAcentral